CAGUGGCGGCGUGCUUACCAUGCAAGUCAGGGAGAAAGUCUCUUCGGGGAUGAUUAAACCGGCGCACGGGUGAGUAACACGUGAGUGACCUGCCUUUUAGACUGGAACAACUUACCGAAAGGUGAGCUAAUGCCGGAUGAGUUAUAUAAGUGCAUGUUUAUAUAGGAAAAGUUGGGGAGACCUGACGCUGAAAGAUGGACUCGCGUCCCAUUAGCUAGUUGGUAGGGUAAUGGCCUACCAAGGCGACGAUGGGUAGCCGGCCUGAGAGGGUGGCCGGCCACACUGGGACUGAGACACGGCCCAGACUCCUACGGGAGGCAGCAGUGGGGAAUUUUGCGCAAUGCUCGUAAGAGUGACGCAGCGACGCCGCGUGAAUGACGAAGGCCUUCGGGUCGUAAAGUUCUUUCGACAGGGAAGAAAAUGCCUAUAAGUAACUGUGUAUGUAUUGACGGUACCUGUAUAAGCAGCCCCGGCUAACUCCGUGCCAGCAGCCGCGGUAAUACGGAGGGGGCGAGCGUUGUUCGGAGUGACUGGGCGUAAAGAGCACGUAGGCGGUGUUGUAAGUCAUUAGUCAAAGACUAGAGCUCAACUUUAGUAAGGCUAGUGAUACUAUAAUACUAGAGUAUCAGAGAGGAUUGCAGAAUUCCUGGUGUAGCGGUGAAAUCACACGU
RNAcentral lists this ribosomal RNA (671 nucleotides) under uncultured bacterium. RNAcentral's name for it is "bacterial SSU rRNA". It matches the Rfam family "Bacterial small subunit ribosomal RNA", at positions 34 to 691 of the family's 1533-position model. The record is from RNAcentral.